RNAcentral lists this ribosomal RNA (564 nucleotides) under uncultured bacterium. RNAcentral's name for it is "bacterial SSU rRNA". It matches the Rfam family "Bacterial small subunit ribosomal RNA", at positions 338 to 916 of the family's 1533-position model. The record is from RNAcentral.
CCUACGGGAGGCAGCAGUGGGGAAUUUUCCGCAAUGGGCGAAAGCCUGACGGAGCAACGCCGCGUGAGGGAUGAAGGCCUCUGGGCUGUAAACCUCUUUUAUCAAGGAAGAAGAUCUGAUGGUACUUGAUGAAUAAGCCACGGCUAAUUCCGUGCCAGCAGCCGCGGUAAUACGGGAGUGGCAAGCGUUAUCCGGAAUUAUUGGGCGUAAAGCGUCCGCAGGCGGUCUGUCAAGUCUGCUGUUAAAGCGUGGAGCUUAACUCCAUUUCGGCAGUGGAAACUGACAGACUAGAGUGUGGUAGGGGCAGAGGGAAUUCCCGGUGUAGCGGUGAAAUGCGUAGAUAUCGGGAAGAACACCAGUGGCGAAGGCGCUCUGCUGGGCCAUAACUGACGCUCAUGGACGAAAGCCAGGGGAGCGAAAGGGAUUAGAUACCCCUGUAGUCCUGGCCGUAAACGAUGAACACUAGGUGUCGGGGGAAUCGACCCCCUCGGUGUCGUAGCCAACGCGUUAAGUGUUCCGCCUGGGGAGUACGCACGCAAGUGUGAAACUCAAAGGAAUUGACGG